AGUCACAAUUCCUCUGAGACCCUGAGAUCCUGGUGUGACCAAGCUUCUGGGAUGCUGGGAUCCUGGAAUCCUAAGAUCCUGGGCAUGUUAAAGCGCCUGGAAAUGGUACCUCCUCUGGAGACCAAGGGGCUGUCUGCUGUGUUCAAAAUCAAGCUGCAUCUCUAACAGAUGAGUGUUGAUCUCUGUUACACUAAAGUGUAUGUGUGCACAUGAAUGCAGGCACUCAUGGGGACCAAAAGAGGCUCUCCUUCCAGGUACACACUUCUCCUUGGCCACUGGCAGCUACAGAAUCAUAUAUGUUAAAAAUACUUCGUGCCAGCAGAAGAAUCCAGCCUCUGUGACAACCAUAGAAAUGUGCUGUUCUUUAAUCGCUGGCUGACUCAGUUGUGGUGAACACCAGAGGAACAAGCUUUUUGGUUUAAGUUCUUUCUGUGUCUUUGGGUGGGCCAUCUUGUGUGUGGGGGCAAAUGGCAACAUGCAGUCAGGGUGGCUGUACAGGUGGCCCUUGGAGAAAGGACAGCUGUAAAUGCCCCCACCCCCACCCCGUUUGCAGAAAGCCAAGUUACUUCUUUCAUUUGGAGAGAAUGUAGCAAUUACUUGAAAUUA
Molecule: long non-coding RNA, 606 nt
Filed under: Mus musculus (house mouse)
Lineage: Eukaryota; Metazoa; Chordata; Mammalia; Rodentia; Muridae
Description: predicted gene 13266, transcript variant 5 (Gm13266)
Source: RNAcentral